RNAcentral lists this ribosomal RNA (744 nucleotides) under uncultured bacterium. RNAcentral describes it as "bacterial SSU rRNA". It matches the Rfam family "Bacterial small subunit ribosomal RNA", at positions 94 to 823 of the family's 1533-position model. The record is from RNAcentral.
AGUGGCGGACGGGUGAGUAACACGUAGGUAACCUGCCCCGGAGCGGGGGAUAACAUUUGGAAACAGAUGCUAAUACCGCAUAACAACAAAAGCCACAUGGCUUUUGUUUUGAAAGAUGGCUUUGGCUAUCACUCUGGGAUGGACCUGCGGUGCAUUAGCUAGUUGGUAAGGUAACGGCUUACCAAGGCGAUGAUGCAUAGCCGAGUUGAGAGACUGAUCGGCCACAAUGGAACUGAGACACGGUCCAUACUCCUACGGGAGGCAGCAGUAGGGAAUCUUCCACAAUGGGCGCAAGCCUGAUGGAGCAACACCGCGUGAGUGAAGAAGGGUUUCGGCUCGUAAAGCUCUGUUGUUGGAGAAGAACGUGCGUGAGAGUAACUGUUCACGCAGUGACGGUAUCCAACCAGAAAGUCACGGCUAACUACGUGCCAGCAGCCGCGGUAAUACGUAGGUGGCAAGCGUUAUCCGGAUUUAUUGGGCGUAAAGCGAGCGCAGGCGGUUGCUUAGGUCUGAUGUGAAAGCCUUCGACUUAACCGAAGAAGUGCAUCGGAAACCGGGCGACUUGAGUGCAGAAGAGGACAGUGGAACUCCAUGUGUAGCGGUGGAAUGCGUAGAUAUAUGGAAGAACACCAGUGGCGAAGGCGGCUGUCUGGUCUGUAACUGACGCUGAGGCUCGAAAGCAUGGGUAGCGAACAGGAUUAGAUACCCUGGUAGUCCAUGCCGUAAACGAUGAGUGCUAGGUGU